RNAcentral lists this ribosomal RNA (249 nucleotides) under uncultured bacterium. RNAcentral's name for it is "partial 16S ribosomal RNA". It matches the Rfam family "Bacterial small subunit ribosomal RNA", at positions 84 to 334 of the family's 1533-position model. The record is from RNAcentral.
UUUGAUGGCGACCGGCGCACGGGUGAGUAACACGUAUCCAACCUGCCGAUGACUCGGGGAUAGCCUUUCGAAAGAAAGAUUAAUACCCGAUGGCAUAAUAGAACCGCAUGGUUUGAUUAUUAAAGAAUUUCGGUUAUCGAUGGGGAUGCGUUCCAUUAGGCAGUUGGUGGGGUAACGGCCCACCAAACCUUCGAUGGAUAGGGGUUCUGAGAGGAAGGUCCCCCACAUUGGGACUGAGACACGGUCCAA